RNAcentral lists this transfer RNA (73 nucleotides) under Bacteroidota bacterium. Its description in RNAcentral is "Bacteroidetes bacterium tRNA-Phe". It matches the Rfam family "tRNA". Rfam says of the family: Transfer RNA (tRNA) molecules are approximately 80 nucleotides in length. Their secondary structure includes four short double-helical elements and three loops (D, anti-codon, and T loops). Further hydrogen bonds mediate the characteristic L-shaped molecular structure. tRNAs have two regions of fundamental functional importance: the anti-codon, which is responsible for specific mRNA codon recognition, and the 3' end, to which the tRNAs corresponding amino acid is attached (by aminoacyl-tRNA synthetases). tRNAs cope with the degeneracy of the genetic code in two manners: having more than one tRNA (with a specific anti-codon) for a particular amino acid; and 'wobble' base-pairing, i.e. permitting non-standard base-pairing at the 3rd anti-codon position. The record is from RNAcentral. RNAcentral also lists the same sequence under 1 other name. Lineage: Bacteria; Pseudomonadati; Bacteroidota.
GGUACCCUAGCUCAGUUGGUAGAGCAAAGGACUGAAAAUCCUUGUGUCACUGGUUCGAUUCCAGUGGGUACCA